This 232-nucleotide ribosomal RNA is filed under the name uncultured bacterium. Its description in RNAcentral is "partial 16S ribosomal RNA". It matches the Rfam family "Bacterial small subunit ribosomal RNA", at positions 99 to 334 of the family's 1533-position model. The record is from RNAcentral.
CGGACGGGUGAGUAAUGUAUGGGGAUCUGCCUGAUGGCGGGGGGUAACUACUGGAAACGGUAGCUAAUACCGCAUAACGUCGCAAGACCAAAGAGGGGGACCUUCGGGCCUCUUGCCAUCGGAUGUGCCCAGAUGGGAUUAGCUAGUAGGUGGGGUAACGGCUCACCUAGGCGACGAUCCCCAGCUGGUCUGAGAGGAUGACCAGCCACACUGGAACUGAGACACGGUCCAG